AUACGGAGGGUGCGAGCGUUACUCGGAGUCACUGGGCGUAAAGCGUCCGUAGGCGGUCGGGUAAGUCGGGUGUGAAAGCCCCGGGCUCAACCUGGGAAGUGCACCCGAUACUGCUCGACUCGAGUGCGGGAGAGGAUGGCGGAAUUCCCGGUGUAGCGGUGAAAUGCGUAGAGAUCAGGAGGAACACCAGUGGCGAAGGCGGCCAUCUGGCCCGCAACUGACGCUGAGGGACGAAAGCGUGGGGAGCAAACAGGAUUAGAAACCCCAGUAGUCC
RNAcentral lists this ribosomal RNA (274 nucleotides) under uncultured bacterium. Its description in RNAcentral is "partial 16S ribosomal RNA". It matches the Rfam family "Bacterial small subunit ribosomal RNA", at positions 523 to 796 of the family's 1533-position model. The record is from RNAcentral.